RNAcentral lists this ribosomal RNA (845 nucleotides) under uncultured archaeon. RNAcentral's name for it is "bacterial SSU rRNA". It matches the Rfam family "Archaeal small subunit ribosomal RNA", at positions 76 to 922 of the family's 1478-position model. The record is from RNAcentral.
CAUCGGCGUACUGCUCAGUAACACGUGGAUAACCUACCCUCAGGUCGGGGAUAAACCCGGGAAACUGGGUAUAAUACCCGCUAGAUCUCGAAUGUUGGAAUGCAUCGAGAUUGAAAGCUCCGGCGCCCGAGGAUGGAUCUGCGGCCUAUCAGGUAGUAGUGGGUGUAGCGUACCUACUAGCCUACGACGGGUACGGGUUGUGAGAGCAAGAGCCCGGAGAUGGAUUCUGAGACACGAAUCCAGGCCCUACGGGGUGCAGCAGGCGCGAAACCUUUACAAUGCGGGCAACCGCGAUAAGGGGACCUCGAGUGCCGACAUCUAAUGUCGGCUGUCGUGAUGCCUAAAAAGCAUUAUAUAGCAAGGGCCGGGCAAGACCGGUGCCAGCCGCCGCGGUAACACCGGCGGCUCGAGUGGUGACCGCUAUUAUUGGGUUUAAAGGGUCUGUAGCCGGCCGGAUAAGUCUCUUGGGAAAUCUGGCCGCUUAACGGUCAGGCUUUCAGGUGAUACUGUCUGGCUCGAGGCCGGGAGAGGUGAGAGGUACUUCAGGGGUAGGGGUGAAAUCUUGUAAUCCUUGAAGGACCACCAGUGGCGAAGGCGUCUCACCAAAACGGACCUGACGGCAAGGGACGAAAGCUAGGGGCACGAACCGGAUUAGAUACCCGGGUAGUCCUAGCCGUAAACAAUACUCGCUAGGUGUCGGCCGCGGUGCGACCGUGGUCGGUGCCGUAGGGAAACCGUGAAGCGAGCCACCUGGGAAGUACGGCCGCAAGGCUGAAACUUAAAGGAAUUGGCGGGGGAGCACCACAAGGGGUGAAGCUUGCGGUUUAAUUGGAGUCAACGCCGGG